RNAcentral lists this ribosomal RNA (65 nucleotides) under uncultured eukaryote. RNAcentral's name for it is "partial small subunit ribosomal RNA". The record is from RNAcentral.
GGUGGGUUCAGCGACUGGGGCUAAGUCGUAACAAGGUAGCAGUAGGUGAACCUGCAGAAGGAUCA